RNAcentral lists this ribosomal RNA (253 nucleotides) under uncultured bacterium. RNAcentral describes it as "partial 16S ribosomal RNA". It matches the Rfam family "Bacterial small subunit ribosomal RNA", at positions 524 to 776 of the family's 1533-position model. The record is from RNAcentral.
UACGUAGGGUGCAAGCGUUGUCCGGAAUUAUUGGGCGUAAAGAGCUCGUAGGCGGUUUGUCGCGUCUGCUGUGAAAACUCGGGGCUUAGCCCCGGGCCUGCAGUGGGUACGGGCAGACUAGAGUGCGGUAGGGGAGACUGGAAUUCCUGGUGUAGCGGUGAAAUGCGCAGAUAUCAGGAGGAACACCGGUGGCGAAGGCGGGUCUCUGGGCCGUAACUGACGCUGAGGAGCGAAAGCGUGGGGAGCGAACAGG